CUAAAAUAUGUAAUUAUAGCCUAUCAUCAAGAUCACAUACCCAUAUUCAUGAUCACGAAUGACAAUCCAAGCACAGAAACCAGCAAAAACCAUCAAUUAAAAUAUGAAGAAAAAUGGUUCGAAAUCAAUAUGAAACACGCUCGAGCCCCUCGGAACCACGUAGGAACAUUCCAACAAGUCCCAUAACAUAAUAUAGACCUACUCGAGGCCUUAAAAUAUGGAUAACAGU
This 229-nucleotide long non-coding RNA is filed under the name Nicotiana benthamiana. RNAcentral describes it as "long non-coding RNA (NBEN_LNC008817)". The record is from RNAcentral. Lineage: Eukaryota; Viridiplantae; Streptophyta; Magnoliopsida; Solanales; Solanaceae.